GACGUAGGGCGCGAGCGUUGUCCGGAUUUAUUGGGCGUAAAGAGCUCGUAGGCGGCUUGUCGCGUCGACUGUGAAAUCCCACGGCUCAACCGUGGAAGUGCACUCGAAACUGCAGGGCUAGAGUCCUGGAGAGGAAGGUGGAAUGCUUGGUGUAGAGGUGAAAUUCGUAGAUAUCAAGCGGAACACCGGUGGCGAAGGCGGCCUUCUGGACAGUGACUGACGCUGAGACGCGAAAGCGUGGGGAGCAAACAGG
RNAcentral lists this ribosomal RNA (253 nucleotides) under uncultured bacterium. Its description in RNAcentral is "partial 16S ribosomal RNA". It matches the Rfam family "Bacterial small subunit ribosomal RNA", at positions 524 to 776 of the family's 1533-position model. The record is from RNAcentral.